Molecule: ribosomal RNA, 372 nt
Filed under: uncultured organism
Description: partial 16S ribosomal RNA
Rfam family: Bacterial small subunit ribosomal RNA
Source: RNAcentral
GUAGGUGGCAAGCGUUGUCCGGAAUUAUUGGGCGUAAAGCGCGCGCAGGUGGUUCUUUAAGUCUGAUGUGAAAGCCCCCGGCUCAACCGGGGAGGGUCAUUGGAAACUGGGGAACUUGAGUGCAGGAGAGGAAAGUGGAAUUCCACGUGUAGCGGUGAAAUGCGUAGAUAUGUGGAGGAACACCAGUGGCGAAGGCGACUUUCUGGCCUGUAACUGACACUGAGGCGCGAAAGCGUGGGGAGCAAACAGGGAUUAGAUACCCUGGUAGUCCACGCCGUAAACGAUGAGUGCUAAGUGUGGGGGGGUUUCCGCCCCCUCAGUGCUGCAGCUAACGCAUUAAGCACUCCGCCUGGGAGUACGGUCGCAAGACUG